GGCUUGUUUGCACAGAUUGCUAUAUAUGCUAUAUAGGGAGAUUUUGAAGUGGCUAGAUCACAAACAGUAUAGUUGGCAGCCUCAAUGGCCAUGUAUUCAUAUGUGGUGUGAACCUUCAUAUGCAGCUUGAUGUGGUGUGCUUAUACACAAAUGUUGUAACCACACCAUGCACGUUCUGUUAGACAAACUACUCAGGCGUAUAUAUAAGGCAGAGCAAGAUGCGCUGAGGUCAAAGUUGAGGCAACUGAAGGACCUGGUUUUACUCGGAUGUCCGUUUUACUCCAAAGAGGAGGCAGGAAAAGAUGACAUGAAGAUUGACCAUGAGAUAGAGGCUAGUAUUAUCGGUAACUUUCAAGACAGCAAUUGCAGACCUCAAGAAAUGUAUUGCAGACCUGGUGGACUGCUGGAAUAUAAAUGACUAGUGCCUCUCCCCCUACAGGCUGCUUAUAACUUUAUUAAGACCAACGCUCCUGGAAGAUAGAAUGAUGUACUGUUAACAAUCAUCACUGUGUUUUAUAAAGUUGUUUAUUUGUGUAUGUGCAUUCAAUAAGCAUAUUGACAUCUUGACUUUCAAA
This is a long non-coding RNA of Halichondria panicea, 575 nucleotides long. RefSeq lists it as uncharacterized. The transcript is spliced from 2 exons. Lineage: Eukaryota; Metazoa; Porifera; Demospongiae; Suberitida; Halichondriidae. The record is from RefSeq and is a predicted model, not a curated record.